GCCGCUGUAGCUCAGUGGUAGAGCAUCGGACGCGUAAUUCGAAGGUCGCAGGUUCGGUUCCUGCCGGUGGCA
Molecule: transfer RNA, 72 nt
Filed under: Rhipicephalus sanguineus (brown dog tick)
Lineage: Eukaryota; Metazoa; Arthropoda; Arachnida; Ixodida; Ixodidae
Description: transfer RNA threonine (anticodon CGU)
Rfam family: tRNA
About the family: Transfer RNA (tRNA) molecules are approximately 80 nucleotides in length.
Source: Rfam by way of RNAcentral